AUACGGAGGAUCCGAGCGUUAUCCGGAUUUAUUGGGUUUAAAGGGUGCGCAGGCGGGAGAUUAGGUCGGCGGUGAAAUGUCGGGGGUCCACCUUGAAAGGGCCGUCGAAACCGGGUUUUUUGAGUGCGGGUGAAGGAGGGGGAAUUUUUGGGGUAGCGGUGAAAUGCGUAGAUAUCACAAGGAACACCGAUUGCGGAGGCAGCUUACUAAACCGCAACUGACGCUCAUGCACGAAGGCGUGGGGAUCAAACAGGAUUAGAUACCCUGGUAGUCCACGCAGUAAACGAUGAUUACUGGCUGUUUGCGAUACAAUGUAAGCGGCUGAGCGAAAGCGUUAAGUAAUCCACCUGGGGAGUACGUUCGCAAGAAUGAAACUCAAAGGAAUUGACGGGG
RNAcentral lists this ribosomal RNA (393 nucleotides) under uncultured bacterium. Its description in RNAcentral is "partial 16S ribosomal RNA". It matches the Rfam family "Bacterial small subunit ribosomal RNA", at positions 523 to 918 of the family's 1533-position model. The record is from RNAcentral.